AGCGAACGCUGGCGGCAGGCCUAACACAUGCAAGUCGAACGAAGUCUUCGGACUUAGUGGCGGACGGGUGAGUAACACGUGGGAACGUGCCUUUAGGUUCGGAAUAACUCAGGGAAACUUGUGCUAAUACCGAAUGUGCCCUUCGGGGGAAAGAUUUAUCGCCUUUAGAGCGGCCCGCGUCUGAUUAGCUAGUUGGUGAGGUAAAGGCUCACCAAGGCGACGAUCAGUAGCUGGUCUGAGAGGAUGAUCAGCCACAUUGGGACUGAGACACGGCCCAAACUCCUACGGGAGGCAGCAGUGGGGAAUCUUGCGCAAUGGGCGAAAGCCUGACGCAGCCAUGCCGCGUGAAUGAUGAAGGUCUUAGGAUUGUAAAAUUCUUUCACCGGGGACGAUAAUGACGGUACCCGGAGAAGAAGCCCCGGCUAACUUCGUGCCAGCAGCAGCCGCGG
This 449-nucleotide ribosomal RNA is filed under the name uncultured bacterium. RNAcentral's name for it is "partial 16S ribosomal RNA". It matches the Rfam family "Bacterial small subunit ribosomal RNA", at positions 29 to 523 of the family's 1533-position model. The record is from RNAcentral.